CCUACGGGGGGCAGCAGUGGGGGAUAUUGCACAAUGGGGGAAACCCUGAUGCAGCGACGCCGCGUGGGUGAAGAAGUAUUUCGGUAUGUAAAGCCCUAUCAGCAGGGAAGAAAGAAGACGGUACCUGACUAAGAAGCCCCGGCUAACUACGUGCCAGCAGCCGCGGUAAUACGUAGGGGGCGAGCGUUAUCCGGAUUUACUGGGGGUAAAGGGAGCGUAGACGGAAAGGCAAGUCAGAAGUGAAAGCCCAAGGCUCAACCAUGGGACUGCUUUUGAAACUGUCAAACUAGAGUACGGGAGAGGUAAGAGGAAUUCCUAGUGUAGCGGUGAAAUGCGUAGAUAUUAGGAGGAACACCAGUGGCGAAGGCGUCUUACUGGACCGAAACUGACGUUGAGGCUCGAAAGCGUGGGGAGCAAACAGGAUUAGAUACCCGUGUAGUC
This 441-nucleotide ribosomal RNA is filed under the name uncultured bacterium. RNAcentral describes it as "partial 16S ribosomal RNA". It matches the Rfam family "Bacterial small subunit ribosomal RNA", at positions 338 to 795 of the family's 1533-position model. The record is from RNAcentral.